This 1332-nucleotide ribosomal RNA is filed under the name uncultured bacterium. RNAcentral's name for it is "bacterial SSU rRNA". It matches the Rfam family "Bacterial small subunit ribosomal RNA", at positions 28 to 1381 of the family's 1533-position model. The record is from RNAcentral.
GACGAACGCUGGCGGCGCGCCUAACACAUGCAAGUCGAACGAGCGAGAGAGAGCUUGCUUUCUCGAGCGAGUGGCGAACGGGUGAGUAACGCGUGAGGAACCUGCCUCAAAGAGGGGGACAACAGUUGGAAACGACUGCUAAUACCGCAUAAGCCCACGGGUCGGCAUCGACCAGAGGGAAAAGGAGCAAUCCGCUUUGAGAUGGCCUCGCGUCCGAUUAGCUAGUUGGUGAGGUAAUGGCCCACCAAGGCGACGAUCGGUAGCCGGACUGAGAGGUUGAACGGCCACAUUGGGACUGAGACACGGCCCAGACUCCUACGGGAGGCAGCAGUGGGGAAUAUUGCACAAUGGGGGAAACCCUGAUGCAGCGACGCCGCGUGGAGGAAGAAGGUCUUCGGAUUGUAAACUCCUGUUGUUGGGGAAGAUAAUGACGGUACCCAACAAGGAAGUGACGGCUAACUACGUGCCAGCAGCCGCGGUAAAACGUAGGUCACAAGCGUUGUCCGGAAUUACUGGGUGUAAAGGGAGCGCAGGCGGGAAGACAAGUUGGAAGUGAAAUCUAUGGGCUCAACCCAUAAACUGCUUUCAAAACUGUUUUUCUUGAGUAGUGCAGAGGUAGGCGGAAUUCCCGGUGUAGCGGUGGAAUGCGUAGAUAUCGGGAGGAACACCAGUGGCGAAGGCGGCCUACUGGGCACCAACUGACGCUGAGGCUCGAAAGUGUGGGUAGCAAACAGGAUUAGAUACCCUGGUAGUCCACACCGUAAACGAUGAUUACUAGGUGUUGGAGGAUUGACCCCUUCAGUGCCGCAGUUAACACAAUAAGUAAUCCACCUGGGGAGUACGACCGCAAGGUUGAAACUCAAAGGAAUUGACGGGGGCCCGCACAAGCAGUGGAGUAUGUGGUUUAAUUCGACGCAACGCGAAGAACCUUACCAAGUCCUGACAUCCCUUGACAGGCAUAGAAAUAUGUAUUCUCUUCGGAGCAAGGAGACAGGUGGUGCAUGGUUGUCGUCAGCUCGUGUCGUGAGAUGUUGGGUUAAGUCCCGCAACGAGCGCAACCCUUAUGGUCAGUUACUACGCAAGAGGACUCUGGCCAGACUGCCGUUGACAAAACGGAGGAAGGUGGGGAUGACGUCAAAUCAUCAUGCCCUUUAUGACUUGGGCUACACACGUACUACAAUGGCGUUAAACAAAGAGAAGCAAGACCGCGAGGUGGAGCAAAACUCAGAAACAACGUCCCAGUUCGGACUGCAGGCUGCAACUCGCCUGCACGAAGUCGGAAUUGCUAGUAAUCGUGGAUCAGCAUGCCACGGUGAAUACGUUCCCGGGCCU